AUUGAACGCUGGCGGCAUGCCUUACACAUGCAAGUCGAACGGUAACAGGUCUUCGGAUGCUGACGAGUGGCGAACGGGUGAGUAAUACAUCGGAACGUGCCAAGUAGUGGGGGAUAACUACUCGAAAGAGUGGCUAAUACCGCAUGAGAUCUACGGAUGAAAGCAGGGGAUCGCAAGACCUUGUGCUACUAGAGCGGCCGAUGGCAGAUUAGGUAGUUGGUGGGAUAAAAGCUUACCAAGCCGACGAUCUGUAGCUGGUCUGAGAGGACGAUCAGCCACACUGGGACUGAGACACGGCCCAGAGUCCUACGGGAGGCAGCAGUGGGGAAUUUUGGANAAUGGGCGAAAGCCUGAUCCAGCAAUGCCGCGUGCAGGAUGAAGGCCUUCGGGUUGUAAACUGCUUUUGUACGGAACGAAAAGCCCCGGGUUAAUACCNUGGGGUCAUGACGGUACCGUAAGAAUAAGCACCGGCUAACUACGUGCCAGCCGCCGCCGUAA
This 498-nucleotide ribosomal RNA is filed under the name uncultured bacterium. RNAcentral's name for it is "partial 16S ribosomal RNA". It matches the Rfam family "Bacterial small subunit ribosomal RNA", at positions 30 to 523 of the family's 1533-position model. The record is from RNAcentral.